Molecule: ribosomal RNA, 466 nt
Filed under: uncultured bacterium
Lineage: Bacteria
Description: partial 16S ribosomal RNA
Rfam family: Bacterial small subunit ribosomal RNA
Source: RNAcentral
ACGAACGCUGGCGGCGUGCUUAACACAUGCAAGUCGAACGGAAAGGCCCUGCUUUUGUGGGGUUCUCGAGUGGCGAACGGGUGAGUAACACGUGAGUAACCUGCCCUUGACUUUGGGAUAACUUCAGGAAACUGGGGCUAAUACCGGAUAGGAGCUCCUGCUGCAUGGUGGGGGUUGGAAAGUUUCGGCGGUUGGGGAUGGACUCGCGGCUUAUCAGCUUGUUGGUGGGGUAGUGGCUUACCAAGGCUUUGACGGGUAGCCGGCCUGAGAGGGUGACCGGCCACAUUGGGACUGAGAUACGGCCCAGACUCCUACGGGAGGCAGCAGUGGGGAAUAUUGCACAAUGGGCGGAAGCCUGAUGCAGAAACGCCGCGUGCGGGAUGACGGCCUUCGGGUUGUAAACCGCUUUCGCCUGUGACGAAGCGUGAGUGACGGUAAUGGGUAAAGAAGCACCGGCUAACUACGU